CGUAACACUCCAGGAUCUCUGAGAUCACCUCAGGCAUGCUGUCCAUAUCUCCAAAAUCCAGCAGCACCAGUUUAGAGGGGAACGUCUGAGGAGGAGAGCCAGUCAUGAUAAAGAGAUGGAAAAGUCUUUUGCUGAUGAUGCAGAUGAGAUGGGAUGGGAUGUCAAAGACCAUUUAGGAUCUAAUGAACGUGAUUAACAUUUAAAAAAUAAAUAAAAUAAUAAAUACUUAUUUGUGGAUCGUAACUUAGUUUUUUCUUCUUUCUUCUCCCAUUACUCAUCUCACGACCCCUCAGAUUUGUCUUGUGAUCCUUUGGAGGGGCUCGACCCCUAGGUUAGCAACCAAUGGGCUAAACCAGCUAACCGUUUAUAAAGUAGUUAAAUCUAGCUUCACCUCGAGCAGCUGCAACAGUAACAUGCUGCUCCAACAUUGAUGAUGAUGAUGAUAACUUUAUUCUUAGACUCAAGGUCCACUUAAAAACAUACAACACAAUUAAAAGGACAGACACAUACAUCACUAUUAAUAAUAAGAGUGUGUAGUAGGACGUCUACUACACCAAUGGAGUAUUUUAGUAUACAGCAAUCUGUUUCCAGUUUUGGUGCUGUUGUACUUACCACAGUGGGGUCUGAGGCAUUUGCCAAGUCAUCGGCCAGUUCUUCAAGUUUCUCCCAACUCUUCCCGCAGAGGAUCAGCCUCGCUCCUCCUCUGUGAAACACACCUGCACAUUCUGCAUUGAUUAAAAAAAAAAAAAAAAAGUUUGACUGUAAAAUCAAAUGGA
This is a long non-coding RNA of Perca fluviatilis (European perch), 776 nucleotides long. RefSeq lists it as uncharacterized. NCBI's taxonomy places the organism in Eukaryota, Metazoa, Chordata, Actinopteri, Perciformes, Percidae. The transcript is spliced from 2 exons. The record is from RefSeq and is a predicted model, not a curated record.